This 19-nucleotide unclassified non-coding RNA is filed under the name synthetic construct. The record is from RNAcentral.
UUAUCCUGGUCAUAGUUGG